Molecule: ribosomal RNA, 465 nt
Filed under: uncultured bacterium
Lineage: Bacteria
Description: partial 16S ribosomal RNA
Rfam family: Bacterial small subunit ribosomal RNA
Source: RNAcentral
CCUACGGGAGGCAGCAGUAGGGAAUCUUCCACAAUGGGCGAAAGCCUGAUGGAGCAACGCCGCGUGGGUGAAGAAGGUCUUCGGAUCGUAAAACCCUGUUGUUAGAGAAGAAAGUGCGUGAGAGUAACUGUUCACGUUUCGACGGUAUCUAACCAGAAAGCCACGGCUAACUACGUGCCAGCAGCCGCGGUAAUACGUAGGUGGCAAGCGUUAUCCGGAUUUAUUGGGCGUAAAGGGAACGCAGGCGGUCUUUUAAGUCUGAUGUGAAAGCCUUCGGGUUAACCGGAGUAGGGCAUUGGAAACUGGGAGACUUGAGUGCAGGAGGGGGGAGUGGAAAUCCAGGGGGAGCGGGUGAAUGCGGAGAUAUAAGGAAGAACACCAGUGGCGAAAGCGGCUCUCUGGUCUGUAACUGACGCUGAGGUUCGAAAGCGUGGGUAGCAAACAGGAUUAGAUACCCCGGUAGUC